CUGUUUUGUUUCUAAUCAGCGCAAGUGGGUGCUUAUGAAAUUCGUCAUCAAGACGAAAUUAGUAAACUCUUAUACCAGUUCGAUGGUGCUGAAAACCUGCCCGGAAAUAAGAUCCCGAACACAAAACUACCCGGAAGCAGGCAAAAUGCCACGUACGAUUUUGGCCGGGAAGCCAGCAGAUAUUACGCAAUACGAACGUUAGGUCAAUCUCAAUCGACAGGCGUCGAAACGGUAAGAAAGUUACCGACCUGUCAUCAAAGUCACUGCAUUUUUAAUCAUUUAACCAUCUGGGAAUUUAUUUUAAAAUCCUGAACGACAAAUUUGUAGAGCAGAUAAGGAUAGUUGCCAGUUUUUUUGAAAAAAUACACUCCAGAUUUUGGCACUUUUUGGCGGAGGAGAUCUCAAGGUUAAGAAGCCUUCAGAAAAAUUGAAACUGGCUCAAAAAACUCGACUCGCGAUUCCGCGAUUCCACAAACAACUCACAAACAACUCGGGCCACCUCACCCGGUUCGACAACAAUGGAGGAGGAUAUUUCGACACUCAUUACGACGCCAAGAACGACCAAGGCGCGUGGAACGACGACGAGGGCGACAACCACCACGAUAACGACGGUAAAACCCAGCACUUUUGCCCCUCGGGGGACGGAUGCCCUGAUAAAUCACUGGUUUGAAACGACCGAGGGGAUCAUCACGAUAUCCGUCUUUGGGGGAGCAGUUCUCACCUUGUCCUUCUUGGGGGAGGGUUUUACAUGUGGCUUAUCAAAUUUAGAUACAGAUCAAUUUGAAUAAAUAAAAACUGGGAUUUUUAUAA
Long non-coding RNA from Folsomia candida, 810 nucleotides. RefSeq lists it as uncharacterized. NCBI's taxonomy places the organism in Eukaryota, Metazoa, Arthropoda, Collembola, Entomobryomorpha, Isotomidae. The transcript has 2 exons. The record is from RefSeq and is a predicted model, not a curated record.